GUGCUCUCUUCAGCAGCACAAAUGCUAGAAUUGGAAUGAUACAGAGAAGGUUAGCAUGCCCUCUGUGUAAGGAUGAUAUGAAAAUUAAUGAAGACUUCCAUUUAAAA
Small nuclear RNA from Bison bison bison, 107 nucleotides. NCBI's taxonomy places the organism in Eukaryota, Metazoa, Chordata, Mammalia, Artiodactyla, Bovidae. The record is from Ensembl.